This 45-nucleotide transfer RNA is filed under the name Ichthyosaura alpestris (Alpine newt). Its description in RNAcentral is "partial tRNA-Leu". Lineage: Eukaryota; Metazoa; Chordata; Amphibia; Caudata; Salamandridae. The record is from RNAcentral.
CUUUUAAAGGAUAAUAGGAAUCCAUUGGUUUAGGAGCCAAAUACU